UGGGGAAUAUUGGACAAUGGGGGCAACCCUGAUCCAGCCAUGCCGCGUGAGUGAUGAAGGCCUUAGGGUUGUAAAGCUCUUUCGCUAGGGAAGAUAAUGACGGUACCUAGUAAAGAAGCCCCGGCUAACUUCGUGCCAGCAGCCGCGGUAAUACGAAGGGGGCUAGUGUUGUUCGGAAUUACUGGGCGUAAAGCGCGCGUAGGCGGCUUUCCAAGUCAGGGGUGAAAUCCCGGGGCUCAACCCCGGAACUGCCCUUGAAACUGGAUCGCUAGAAUCUUGGAGAGGUGAGUGGAAUUCCGAGUGUAGAGGUGAAAUUCGUAGAUAUUCGGAAGAACACCAGUGGCGAAGGCGACUCACUGGACAAGUAUUGACGCUGAGGUGCGAAAGCGUGGGGAGCAAACAGGAUUAGAUACCCCCGUAGUUC
RNAcentral lists this ribosomal RNA (424 nucleotides) under uncultured prokaryote. RNAcentral describes it as "bacterial SSU rRNA". It matches the Rfam family "Bacterial small subunit ribosomal RNA", at positions 355 to 796 of the family's 1533-position model. The record is from RNAcentral.